GGCGAAUACAACCAUGCAUUGUGAACGCCAUUUUCCUCAGCGCUUGUCUAUAAUUUUGCUCAUUCUUUUUCCGGUGGUCGAGUCGUACGGAUGUGCUUCUAAUUUUAUUAGUGGGAGAAAAUCUAUAGGAUACAUAACUGAGGAAAUUGUGUGUUUGUGUGUAAGGUGAAAAUAUAUAGUAGACAACAUGGACGGUGGUAUAAAAGUUGAAGGAGUCAAUGGUGCUACUCCGUUGCCACAAAGAGCUCAGAAGAAUAUGCCACAAGGUAAUAAAAAGCCCAUUAUGAAUGCUCAGCAGCAAAAACAGAAUGAUGGUGCUGAUGGCGCACCAGCAGAGAAAAAACCACGUUUUAACCAGAAUGGUCCUAAUCAAAACCAAGGUGGUAAUCAAAAUAAAAAUUUCGGAAAUCAGAACCGAGGUUUUGGUAAUCGCAAUAAUAAUCGUAACCAACAAAAUCAGAAUCGUGGUAACCAGAAUCAGAACCAAGGAAACUCACAAAAUCAGAAUCAGCAGAAUCAGAACAAACAAAAUCAGCCAAAUCAACAAAAACAACCAGAUGUGAAGCCGGCAGGUGAUGGCAACCAGGCAGCAAUUAAAAAGGAUGUUGGUCCAGGACCGCAACAACAACAACCCCAGCAGCAGCAACAACAGCAGUCCCAACAGCAACAGCCACAACAACAACAACCACAAAACCAACAAAGGAAUCUGCAACAAAAUCAGCAGAAUCAAAAUAUGAAUCUCAACCAGAAUCGCAAUCGUGGUGGAGGUGGCGGAAGUGGCCCUAUGGGUAAUCAAGGAGGCCCAGGUGGCAAUCAAGGAGGUCAAAAUAGAGAUCGCAGCCGUGGUGGACGAGGGGGUCCAGGUGAUGGUCGUGGUAAUCAAGGUAAUGGCCCUUAUAAUAGGAGUGAUGAAUUCUUCAUUGGGCAACGUUUAAGGGCGAUCGGAGGCCCAACACAUGAACUGCCACCGGUUGAGGCUACCGAGGAACCCAAGUUCUCUGGCCGCAAUCGUUUAUAUGUUGGAAAUCUUACCAAUGAUAUUUCCGAAAAUGAAUUGCGAGAAAUGUUUAAACCAUACGGUGAAAUUGGUGAAAUAUUUUGUAAUGCUGAGAAAAAUUUCACUUUCCUUAAAUUGGAUUACCACGUAAAUGCCCAGCGCGCCAAACGUGAAUUGGAUGGCACCAUGCGGAAAGGACGUCAAUUGCGUGUUCGUUUCGCUCCCAACGCUACCAUACUUCGUGUAAAAAAUUUGACUCCUUUCGUCUCCAAUGAACUUCUUUAUCGAUCUUUUGAAAUAUUUGGACCUAUUGAACGCGCUAAUGUAGUUGUUGAUGAUCGCGGUAAAUCCACUGGCGAAGGCAUAGUAGAAUUCGCUAAGAAAUCGUCUGCAAAUGUUUGCCUACGUUUUUGCAAUGAAAAAUGUUUCUUUCUUACUGCUUCAUUGCGUCCGUGUGUUGUUGAACCAUUUGAAAUUAAUGAAGAUGAUGAUGGUCUGCCCGAUAAGUCGCUAAAUAAAAAAUCACCAGAAUUCCAUCACGAACGUGGUGUAGGACCACGCUUCGCCGAGUUGGGCUCCUUUGAACAUGAAUAUGGUACCAGGUGGAAGCAAUUGCACGAAUUGUUCAAAACUAAACAAGAUGCGUUAAAACGUGAACUCAAAAUGGAAGAAGAGAAACUUGAGGCCCAAAUGGAAUAUGCACGAUACGAACAUGAAACUGAGCUGCUUAGGCAAGAAUUGCGUAAACGCGAGUCUGAUAAUGAACGCAAGAAGAUGGAAUGGGAAAUGCGCGAAAAGCAAGCCGAAGAAAUGCGUAAACGGGAUGAAGAAAGUAUGCGUCGGCAGCAAAAUGAAAUGCAAUCGCGUAUGUUGCGUCAAGAAGAAGAAAUGCGUCGCCGACAACAAGAAAACACAUUGUUUAUGCAAGCGCAACAGCUUAAUUCAUUGCUAGAUCAGCAGGAAGGUUUCGGCGGCAAUAAUAAUGGAGGUAAUAAUUUCGACAAUUUUGGUCGAGCAUCCAACAAUUCACCAUUUGAAUUCAGAGAUCCAAUUUCGGCUCUUUUAGGCAACAGCGGUGGGGGUGGUAACGGUAACGGCAGUGGCAAUGGGCCAAAUAAUCCACAGGAUACGUUUUCAUUUGAAUUUGGUGGUGGUAACCAAAACCAAGGUGGCAAUCAACGCGGUGGUAAUAACAACGGAAACAAUAAUCCAUGGGAACGAAGAAGACGUUUCUGAGAUUCAGUGUCACCUUAAAUGAAUGUGCGUGAGCGAUUACGCUGUAUUUUUAAUGAUCCAGAGUGAAAAAUUAUGAAAAAUGAUUGAACAAUUAAUACUACUGUACUACAACCAAUUUCCACCCAACAAUAACACACAAUCAAGCAGUUCUAUGGCUGUUGGAACAUUUAUAAAGAACAUGCAUAUAAAGAACAAAAACUUUACUCAAAGGACCAUUGAUUGAUCAACACACGAUAUUAAAAAAAAAAAAAAAAACUUGAAAAUCAGCAAAGCGCGUACACCUGCGCAAGUUCUCAUGUUUUAAUUAAUAUAACUAAUAUAUUUAAAUGUACGCUUUUUUAAACGAUUUAAAUUCUAGUGAAAAAAUGUAUUCAAAACAUACAUUCUCUUUAGGCAGGAUAAGUUAUUUGGAAGCUAUAAAACGUGUGUAAUAUUUGGUUUGAAACAUUUUAAAUUUGUAUAACAAUUGAUCAAAGUUGAAAGCAAGAAAAUUCAAUUCUGAUGACGCUAGAAAGUGUAAGAUUUCACAACAUACUAGUAUUUAUUGAUAAGGCAUCAAACGUAAAGCAGCUUGAGCUUUAUUUGUGGUAAUUGUCUCAUUUUCACCGAUUGCGAUCUCUUGAGGCAUAUGCAACACGAACUUACUCGUCUUGACCGUAUUGGAAAUUAAAAAAA
Bactrocera oleae (olive fruit fly) is the source of this 2908-nucleotide long non-coding RNA. RefSeq annotates it as protein no-on-transient A. The record is from RefSeq and is a predicted model, not a curated record. Lineage: Eukaryota; Metazoa; Arthropoda; Insecta; Diptera; Tephritidae.